This 425-nucleotide ribosomal RNA is filed under the name uncultured bacterium. Its description in RNAcentral is "partial 16S ribosomal RNA". It matches the Rfam family "Bacterial small subunit ribosomal RNA", at positions 354 to 796 of the family's 1533-position model. The record is from RNAcentral.
GUGGGGAAUCUUGCGCAAUGGGCGAAAGCCUGACGCAGCCAUGCCACGUGAAUGAUGAAGGUCUUAGGAUUGUAAAAUUCUUUCACCGGGGACGAUAAUGACGGUACCCGGAGAAGAAGCUCCGGCUAACUUCGUGCCAGCAGCCGCGGUAAUACGAAGGGGGCUAGCGUUGCUCGGAAUUACUGGGCGUAAAGGGCGCGUAGGCGGACAGCUUAGUCAGAGGUGAAAGCCCAGGGCUCAACCUUGGAAUUGCCUUUGAUACUGGCUGUCUUGAGUUUGGGAGAGGUGAGUGGAACUCCGAGUGUAGAGGUGAAAUUCGUAGAUAUUCGGAAGAACACCAGUGGCGAAGGCGACUCACUGGCCCAAUACUGACGCUGAGGCGCGAAAGCGUGGGGAGCAAACAGGAUUAGAAACCCCGGUAGUCC